CGUGCUGCCUGUACUGGUCCUCGGGCUGUUUCUGGAGCCCUCUGUGCUAGAAGAAAGAGAUAGGGCAUCCCUAGGGGGGACUGUGGAGUGUGUGGGCUGAGGAAGUUGUUGAAGUUGGGGAAGUAAGUUCCUCUGGUUGGGCCUGGGGUCCUGGGGCUCCAGUUGCUCAUUGGUCCCCAGGCCCAGUGGCACCACCAGGUCAUUCUUCUGCUGGGUGGGCAAGGAGCCAGGGGGCCUAGGGACCACAAUGGGUCCCACCGUUGGUCCCUCUGUGUACUCAUUACUGCUCCCGGUGAUCCUGAUCUGGUCCAGCGAGAGCACAGGGGCCUGCUGGCUGGGGUUUACCCCAGGAUCGGGCUGCCCUUCCUGUGCAUGGUGAGGCCGGUGUAGCCUCCCGCUGUCACGCAGAGCAUGCAGCAAGCCGGCCGACCCUCCGCCACCACUGCCAUUUUGAGUACUGGUCUCCAUCUUGGCUCUGAAGAAGGACCCCUCCGGCUGGCAUUGAACACAUCUGAAGUCCUGGAGAGAAAGACAGGCAAAUAUAUAUAUGAGACGACCAGGUGACACUUGAGUAGAAACGACCCUAUGUAAAUUAUAACUGAUGAUAAGGGUUUGGCAACAUGGGUUGGCUAGCUACCAACUGGAGUUGUUUUGCUUGACAAAUAUAUCAACACCUCACAUUAAGAAUUACUUUCCAAUGUAAAAGUGUAGGCCAAUGCUCAAUUCUAAUCAUAUCCCCUAACCUUAGGCACUUUCUGUUUGGUGUUAAAAGGAUGUGAUAAGUAACAACAGCAUAAUAUAUACCUAACUGUACCUCUAAGGCAGCAUUUCACAUGAUAGGAGAACAAAAACAAAGAUUUGACAUGAUGAAACAGUGGAUUGAUCAUGUUUCUGUACGUUUGGAAAUUGACAGUAACAUUGACAGCUGAACCCUUCUGAUUGGAGGACUUAGGUAUAUACCAACUAUUUCCUAUUACAUGAGAUACAUACAGGGGAAAUAAAGAGCAUGCAAGGAAGAGAACAUGAGGCAAUGCUGAGACAGGGCUAGUCUACAACUUCAACAAAAGUUGAGGCACUCAAACACGCAUACUGUGUAUCAAAACUUGCAUCCUUAUAUGUCCCAUAACUAGAAGGUGGAGACUUUAGACUUGUUGCCACCAUUUCCAAAUGAGUGAAAAACAACUGAUUGCUAGUUUCGAGGGACUCAUAAUUGAACAUUUCUUAAGAUUUGUCAUUUCACUCUGGAGACAAUUAUUAGCCUAAUACAUCAUGGUGUGCAUGACGCUCUUGUUUGAGUGUGCGUGUGUAGGGCAGCGGAUGAGCCCAAAGACCAUGACAUUUGAGAUGGGCUUUACACAGACAAAUGGACAGGCGAGACGGAAAAGUAAAAACCCAAAUGUCCUAUUAUGAAAUAGCCUAACAUAAACGCCAAUAGCCCCACCAAACAUUCAAAUAUUGACUUUUAUCAUUCCACCUUUCUUCUAUAAUGUAAAAUAGCCCUCUAUUUUUGUUCUGAAUAUGAAACAACAAAAACGCUUUUCAACUGCGCUAAAUAUGUGUUUAUGUGCAGGCUACCGUUCACAGAUUUUGUAUUUACUCAAUUUAUCUAGUCAAAAUGCAUGAUCUACAGACAGGCUAUCAAUUGUUUUAAUAAGAGGGUAAUGUCUAGACCGUUAUUCAGAAGGGGAAAAACUAAAACACUACUUUUUAGAGCAAGAAGCUGUAGGCCUAUUCAGAUGAGAAAAUGCUGGGAUUGCACGGGGAAGGUUGGAGAAAGGAUGGGGAAAGUCAAUGCGGGUCAGCAGUUGGAACUCCCGAGUCCGAGAGCAUGCAUAAAACUGAAUUGGGACUAAAGUGGGCACCUGAUUGCAUUUCACUCCAUUGCAUUGGCAUGGCAGGAGAAAACAGUCCUGCCUGACACAUUUGGAGGUAAAGGACAUCCCACCCUGACACCCAGCAGAUGUAAAGAACUUGUUUUGAACCUGCCAACCACCAGGAUAAUCACCAUACCAUGACUUGGUUUUUGUAUUUUAAUGUGUAUAUAUAGACAAAAAGUAUAUGGACACCCUUUCAAGUGAGUGGAAUCGGCUAUUUCAGCCACACCCGUUGCUUACAGGUGUAUAAAAUCGAGCACACAGCCAUGCAAUCUCCAUAGAGAAACAUUGGCAGUAGAAUAGCCUUACUGAAGAGGUCUUUGACUUUCAACGAGGCACCGUCAUAGGAGGCCACCUUCCAACAAGUCAGUUUGUCAAAUUUCUGUUAUUGUGAAGUGGAAACGUCUAGGAGCAACAAUGGCUCAGCCUUGAAGUGGUAGGCCACACAUGCUCACAGAAUGGGACCGCUGAGUAGCCCAUACAAAUCGUCUGUCCUCGGUUGCAACACUCACCACCGAGUUCCAAACUGCCUCUGGAAGCAACGUCAGCACAAGAACUGUUUGUCGGGUGCUUCGUGAAAUGGGUUUCCAUGGCCGAGCAGCCGCACACAAGCCUAAGAUCACCAUGCGCAAUGCCAAGCGUCGGCUGGGGUAGUGUAAAGCUUGCCACCAUUGGACUCUGAAGCAGUGGAAAUGCUUUCUCUGGAGUGAUGAAUCACGCUUCACCAUCUGGCAGUCCGACGGACAAAUCUGGGUUUGGAGGAUGCCAGGAGAGCGCUAUCUGCCCCAAUUCAUAGUGCCAUCUGUAAAGUUUGGUGGAGGAGGAAUAAUGGUCUGGGGAUGUUUUUCAUGGUUCGGGCUAGGCCCCUUAACGCUACAGCAUACUGUACAAUGACAUUCUAGAUGAUUCUGUGCUUCCAACUUUGUGGCAACAGUUUGGGGAAAGCCCUUUUCAUGUUUCAGCAUGACAAGGCCCCCGUACACAAAGUGAGGUCCAUGGCGUGUCGAGAUCAGUGUGGAAGAACUUGACUGGCCUGCACAGAGCCCUCACCGCAACCCCAUCGAACACCUUUGGGAUGAAUUGGAAUGCCAACUGGGAGCCAGGCCUAAUCGCCCAACAUCAGUGCCCGACCUCACUAAAGCUCGUGGCUGAAUGAAAGCAAAUCCCUGCAGCAAUGUUCCAACAGGUAGCGCAAAGCCUUCCCAGAAGAGUGGAGGCUGUUACAUCAGCAAAGAGGGGACCAACUCCAUACUAAUGCCCAUGAUUUUGCAAUGAGAUGUUCGACGAGCAGUUGGCCUUAUACUUUUGUUCAUGUAGUGUACAUGUUAAAAAAAGGUUAUUCAGGAGUGUGCAACAUGAAUGUUAGAUAGAAAUAAACACACACCAUUUUAUUGUCAUGGAAAUUUGUCAGGACAUUGUAACGUAUACAGCUCAUUCUAUAAUACAGACGUGAUUUCUGACCCUGGAUAUUGCACUGUGUGUCCGUCUUCAAUUUAGACCACAAUUAGUUAAAUUAGGUGUUAGUGAAGAGCUGGAACAAAAACCUGUAAACCCCUGUCCUGUCUAUUAAAAAAUAUCUGUGGAUAUCAUGACAAAAUUUGCCCUCGUGGUGAUCAAGCUUAUGAAUGUUGGGGUUAAUCUCCUUGGUGUACCUCACUUGGGAAUGACUUAUUUUGUACAAUGGACUGUGUUUUAAGGACUCAUGGACAGAUACAGGAAAACCAAUACAUGUUUUACAUUUCUAAAAAAUGACAAGUGUUGAUGUAGUAAUGUUUCUGGUUUUGAGGCUUGGCCAUCUGGUGACUACUGUUCACAUGUCUAAUCCCCUGCAAGGAUAGAUAAAGGCAUCAAUAAUAUUACAAUGCU
Long non-coding RNA from Salvelinus fontinalis (brook trout), 3740 nucleotides. RefSeq lists it as uncharacterized. Lineage: Eukaryota; Metazoa; Chordata; Actinopteri; Salmoniformes; Salmonidae. The transcript is spliced from 3 exons. The record is from RefSeq and is a predicted model, not a curated record.